AUGCAUGCAAUCCUUGAUGUAGCCUUUACUUGGGAGGAAGUCAAGGCGGCGCUGGACCAUAUCGGUGAUCUCAAGGCACCGGGGCCUGAUGGGAUGCCGACAGUUGUUUUCAAACGGCAUUGGCAUUUUAUGGGGGACAAGGUAGUGGAAGAAGUGCUCGCUGUGCUGAAUGGAGGAGAAAUCCCGGAAGGAUGGAAUGAUGCAAUGGUUGUGCUCAUACCAAAAGUCAAAAAUUCGAGAAGAAUCAAGGAUCUACGGCCUAUCAGCCUCUGCAAUGUGGUAUAUAAGUUGGUGUCAAAAGUCAUUGCGAAUAGACUAAAGAUUAUCCUCCUGGACAUCAUUUCAGACAACCAAAGCGCGUUUGUGCCGGGAAGACUCAUCACGGAUAAUGUUCUUAUAGCCUAUGAGCUAUCACACUACCUGAUGAAUAAGAGAACCGGAAAAACUGGAUAUUCGGCGGCAAAGCAGACAUGA
RNAcentral lists this ribosomal RNA (474 nucleotides) under Triticum aestivum (bread wheat). Its description in RNAcentral is "partial small subunit ribosomal RNA". The record is from RNAcentral. Lineage: Eukaryota; Viridiplantae; Streptophyta; Magnoliopsida; Poales; Poaceae.